Molecule: long non-coding RNA, 620 nt
Organism: Nilaparvata lugens (brown planthopper)
Lineage: Eukaryota; Metazoa; Arthropoda; Insecta; Hemiptera; Delphacidae
Exons: 2
Source: RefSeq, a predicted model, not a curated record
GCCUUUUUUGUUUCAAAUGCAUCAAUCAAUUUACAUUGAAACAAGGAUAUAUAAGCACACAUUCUACUGGGUCUCAUCCAUUCCAAUCCGAUAUCCUCAUAUCAAAUUCAGCUCUGUGUGAAGAUGUUUGAACGUUUGGAAAAUAUAUCUAUGCCCAAUCGUAAGCUGCUCUCGUUGUUGUGCAUCGUCAUCAUCAUGGGAUGCAUGGGUCACGUGAUACCGCCCAAUUAUGGUCAAUCCGAGAAGAAAAAUAACUAAAACUUAUAAAUCAGUGCAACAUAAAAUAGCGUCAGUAAUGAUAUUUCAAUCAAGUAACAGUGAUAAACGACAUUGAACCGGUAAUACUUCCAUUUGAUUUGUAGAGAAGCAAACUGUAUCCUUUAUUAUUUGUAACAAAUGAUUCAAUAUCUUUUUCAAUCUGUAGCAAAGAAUACAGUAUCCUCUUCUAUAAAUCAGAUGAAAUUAUUACAGGUUGAACACAGUUUGUCACUACUACUGACUAGCCGAAUUACUGAAAUCACAUUUAAAGAAAUCUAUUGUAUUUGUUUGAGAGAAACUGUACAUUUAUUUUGUUCUAUGAUUCAUAUCAUGAAAUAAAGUCAGUGUAUUGAUGAAUUUUA